RNAcentral lists this ribosomal RNA (253 nucleotides) under uncultured bacterium. RNAcentral's name for it is "partial 16S ribosomal RNA". It matches the Rfam family "Bacterial small subunit ribosomal RNA", at positions 524 to 776 of the family's 1533-position model. The record is from RNAcentral.
UACGAAGGGGGCUAGCGUUGCUCGGAAUUACUGGGCGUAAAGGGCUUGUAGGUGGCCAACUAAGUCAGACGUGAAAUCCCACGGCUUAACCUGGGAACUGCGUCUGAUACUGGGAGGCUUGAGUAUGGGAGAGGGAUGUAGAAUUCCAGGUGUAGCGGUGAAAUGCGUAGAUAUCUGGAGGAAUACCGGUGGCGAAGGCGGCAUCCUGGACCGGUUCUGACACUGAGGUGCGAAAGCGUGGGGAGCAAACAGG